RNAcentral lists this long non-coding RNA (1203 nucleotides) under Lonchura striata (white-rumped munia). Its description in RNAcentral is "domestica (Bengalese finch) lncRNA (ENSLSDG00000011315.1)". Lineage: Eukaryota; Metazoa; Chordata; Aves; Passeriformes; Estrildidae. The record is from RNAcentral.
GGAUUUAUCUGGUGGAGAAAAAUCCUGAAAUUUUUUUGGGGAAAAAAAAAUCCCUGAAAUUUGGGAUUUAUUUGGGGGAAAAUCCGAAAGUUUUGGAUUUACGAGAAGGGAAAAAAUGGUAAAAAUUUGGUGGGAAAUCCCAGAAAUUUGAGCUUCAGCUGUGCCCAAAAUUUGGGAUUUUUUUUUUUUUUUUGGAUGGGGAAAAAUGUGAAAAAACUGGGGGGAAAAAAAUCCUAAAAAAAGGGGGAGGAAAAAAUCCCCAAAAUUUGGGGAAAAUCCCCAAAUUGUCCCGAAUUUGUCCCAAAUUGGAGGGAGGGGACAGAGCCCUUCAGCCCUGGGCGAGGACAGGUGACAGCGGGAGGUGCCACCAGGUGUGCCCAGGUGCCACCAGGUGCCACCUCACCUGUCCAGGUGUCACCAGGUGUGUCCAGGUGCCACCUCAGGUGUGCCCAGGUGCCACCUCAGGUGUGCCCAGGUGCCACCAGGUGUGCCCAGGUGCCACCAGGUGUGUCCAGGUGUCACCUCAAGUGUGUCCAGGUGCCACCAGGUGUGCCCAGGUGCCACCUCAGGUGUGUCACACCUGGCCCACAGGCACGGGGAGGUGACAGGUGCCACCAGGUGCCACCGACACACAGCGAAACCAACGGUGCCACCUCCUGUCCUGUCCUGGUGCCGUCCCCAGGUGCCUCCAGGUGUGCCCAGGUGCCACCAGCUCUCCCCAGGUGUCUCCAGGUGUGUCCCAGCUGUUCCCAGGUGCCACCAGGUGUGCCCAGGUGCCUCCAGGGUGUCCUCAGGGUGUCUCCAGGUGCUACCAGGUUUCUCUCGGGUGAUCCCAGGUAUGCCCAGAUGUCUCCAGGUGCCACCAGGUGUGCCCAGGUGCCUCCAGGGUGUCCUCAGGGUGUCCCCAGGUGCCACCAGGUGUGCCCAGGUGUCACCAGGUGUCCUCAGGAUGUCCUCAAGGUGUCCCAGGUGUCCCCAGGAUGUCCUCAGGGGAUUCUCAGGUGUGCCCACAUAUCUCCAGGUGUGCCCAGCUGUCUCCAGGAUGUCCUCAAGGUGUUCCCAGGUGUCCCCAGGUGUGCCCAGGUGUCCUCAGGAUGUCCUCAAGGUGUUCCCAGGUGUCUCUAGGAUGUCCCCAGGCAUGCACCAGGUGUCCCCAGGUGUACUCAGGUGCCCUCAGGAUGUCCUCAAGGUGUUCCCAGGUGU